This 404-nucleotide ribosomal RNA is filed under the name uncultured Yersinia sp. RNAcentral's name for it is "bacterial SSU rRNA". It matches the Rfam family "Bacterial small subunit ribosomal RNA", at positions 505 to 908 of the family's 1533-position model. Lineage: Bacteria; Pseudomonadati; Pseudomonadota; Gammaproteobacteria; Enterobacterales; Yersiniaceae. The record is from RNAcentral.
GUGCCAGCCGCCGCGGUAAUACGGAGGGUGCAAGCGUUAAUCGGAAUUACUGGGCGUAAAGCGCACGCGGGCGGUUUGUUAAGUCAGAUGUGAAAUCCCCGCGCUUAACGUGGGAACUGCAUUUGAAACUGGCAAGCUAGAGUCUUGUAGAGGGGGGUAGAAUUCCAGGUGUAGCGGUGAAAUGCGUAGAGAUCUGGAGGAAUACCGGUGGCGAAGGCGGCCCCCUGGACAAAGACUGACGCUCAGGUGCGAAAGCGUGGGGAGCAAACAGGAUUAGAUACCCUGGUAGUCCACGCUGUAAACGAUGUCGACUUGGAGGUUGUGCCCUUGAGGCGUGGCUUCGGAGCUAACGCGUUAAGUCGACCGCCUGGGGAGUACGGCCGCAAAGGUUAAAACUCAAAAUG